CAGUCGCCGCGGUAAUACGAAGGGGGCUAGCGUUGUUCGGAAUUACUGGGCGUAAAGCGCACGCAGGCGGCUCGAUAAAUUAGAAGUGAAAGCCUUGGGCUUAACCUGAGAAUUGCUUUUAAGACUGUCGAGCUAGAAUCCAGAAGAGGGUAGUGGAAUUCCGAGUGUAGAGGUGAAAUUCGUAGAUAUUCGGAAGAACACCAGUGGCGAAGGCGACUACCUGGUCUGGCAUUGACGCUCAUGUGCGAAAGCGUGGGGAGCAAACAGGAUUAGAUACCCGGGUAGUCCCUGUCUCUUAUAC
RNAcentral lists this ribosomal RNA (301 nucleotides) under uncultured bacterium. RNAcentral's name for it is "partial 16S ribosomal RNA". It matches the Rfam family "Bacterial small subunit ribosomal RNA", at positions 509 to 807 of the family's 1533-position model. The record is from RNAcentral.